GGUUUUGGUGGGUUUUGGACAGCUUCUUUACGCAUGCUGUUUUAUCAGCAAGGUCUUUGUGACCUGUAUCUUGUGCCGACCUCCUAUCUCAUCCUGUGACUAGGAAUGCCUUAACCUCCUGGAAUGCAGCUCACAUGCCAGAAACUAUACAAUCCACCCCCUCUGAAGGAGUUUGUUCAUUUAAAAAAAAAAAAAGGAUCACAGUCUGGAAGUCUGCUCACAGUCUCAAGGUUGGCAUAUCCCCUAGAGCCCCCAGACUCCUCAUCCCAUGGAGACCAACAUGGCCAGGGGAGGGCCAGAGCAGGGCCUUCUAAAUCACAGACCCCAGGGCAGGAGCCCCUCCGGUCUGGAUCUAAGGAUGGUAUUUUCAACAAUUCCUAAAUUUUUAUCCUAGGCUCUCCAAAUGGGAGUCUAAAGGUCUCAAAACAUGGUCCAGAAGAAGUAUGCAAAAAUGUAAAUUCCUAGGCCCCAACCCAGACCUAUGAAUCAGAUGAUCUGUAUGGGGGUUCAAGGAAUCUAUAUUAUUAAACAAUCUUCCUAAAUGACUUGUAUUCAUACUAAAGCUUGAGAAUUGCUAUCAAACAGCUAGAAGUUGGAGUGAAGGGUCCUGCCUUUCCCAUGAAAUUCAUCAACUCUAUGCCCUCAAAAGCUGGGCUCUUGGAUGAGCUGCUCUCCAUUCUAGAGACAUUACCAGCUAGGUAGCCUGCUGGUCCUCAGGAAGUUAAGCCCAGACUCUUCAGCACAGAAUCAGAUAAACACUGAUUACAUUGUACUCUACAGUUCUGAGAACACCAUUACUUAAUUCCCGGCAAGUUGCAAUGUAAUUGAGUAGGUUGUAGUUUUUUGGGUUUGGGGUUUUUUUGUUUUUUAAAUAUAUCAGGCGUAGUUAGCCAGCUUCCUAGAAACACCAUGAUCUCUUGGUGAAAAUUCCAGAAAUAUGCAUCACUUCCUAAUUAAAGUAGGGAAUUUUUAAAAAUUAUUAAACCACAUGCUUUCUAAUUCCUAUUGCCCUUUCUUUUCACCCACCAUUCAGCAGUCAGCAGACACUUUCUGGGUACAACAGGGUAGGACCAUCCAGGCAGAACAAAAGCCAUUGAUCAUGAACUACAGAGGAGAGUUUGGUAAAUGGACACCAGAAACCAUGGCCUACAGGGGCCUGGUUUUCUCCCAUCUAAAUACUAACUAGGCCCAACGCUAGUUGGGCUUAGCUUCCUAGAUCAGAUGAAAUUGGGCACAUUUAGGGUUGGGGGUAUGGCUCUCUAUUGUAAGUAGCAAGAGUUUGAGAGAAGAAAAAAGGGAUUUUCUUUUUUUUUUCUUUUAAAUUUUAGAGCAUUAACUUUAAACAUCAAGAUCCAAACCCCAAGGAUUCAGAGAAUCUUGUACUAUAAACCAUUUGUAUUAGUCAGGGUUCUCCAGAGAAACAGAACCCAUAGGAGGUAUAGAGAUAGAGAAAUAUGGAAUUGGCUCCCAUGAUUAUGGAGGCUGAGAAGUCCCUCAAUCUGCUGUCUGUGAGCUGGAGACCUAGGAAAGCUUAGCUGGUGGUACAAACCAGCCCAAGUGCAAAGGCCCAAGAACUAAGAGCACCAUUGUCAGAGAGCAGGAAAAGACAGAUGUCCCAGCUCAAAAAGAGAGAGCAAAUUCACCUUCCUUCCACCAUUUUAUUCCGUCCUGUUCCAUUCCUCAACAGGUUGGAUGAUGAGGGAGAUCUUUAUCCAUCUCAAGUUUUUUGUGCAAAUAUGGAAUACAAAUGAAAAAUACUUAAAGCACAUCAUCAUUGAUUUCCAACUUAGACUAGUUUAACUUCCCUUUUUCUUCUAUCCUGUCAGUUCCUUGAGGGAUCCUCUCUCCUUGUUCAUCUCUGCAUCUCUAGUAAUUAGCACAGUGCCAGGCACAUGGUAAUAUGGCUAAAACAGUGGAUUAUUGGUCUCCAACAUAAUUAAGCCCAUCCAAAAGAAAAA
Long non-coding RNA from Homo sapiens (human), 1958 nucleotides. Ensembl annotates it as long intergenic non-protein coding RNA 2577. The record is from Ensembl. NCBI's taxonomy places the organism in Eukaryota, Metazoa, Chordata, Mammalia, Primates, Hominidae.